AGCGAACGCUGGCGGCAGGCUUAACACAUGCAAGUCGAGCGGGCGUAGCAAUACGUCAGCGGCAGACGGGUGAGUAACGCGUGGGAACGUACCUUUUGGUUCGGAACAGCACAGGGAAACUUGUGCUAAUACCGGAUAAGCCCUUACGGGGAAAGAUUUAUCGCCGAAAGAUCGGCCCGCGUCUGAUUAGCUAGUUGGUGAGGUAACGGCUCACCAAGGCGACGAUCAGUAGCUGGUCUGAGAGGAUGAUCAGCCACAUUGGGACUGAGACACGGCCCAAACUCCUACGGGAGGCAGCAGUGGGGAAUAUUGGACAAUGGGCGCAAGCCUGAUCCAGCCAUGCCGCGUGAGUGAUGAAGGCCCUAGGGUUGUAAAGCUCUUUUGUGCGGGAAGAUAAUGACGGUACCGCAAGAAUAAGCCCCGGCUAACUUCGUGCCAGCAGCCGCGGUAAUACGAAGGGGGCUAGCGUUGCUCGGAAUCACUGGGCGUAAAGGGUGCGUAGGCGGGUCUUUAAGUCAGAGGUGAAAUCCUGGAGCUCAACUCCAGAACUGCCUUUGAUACUGAGGAUCUUGAGUUCGGGAGAGGUGAGUGGAACUGCGAGUGUAGAGGUGAAAUUCGUAGAUAUUCGCAAGAACACCAGUGGCGAAGGCGGCUCACUGGCCCGAUACUGACGCUGAGGCACGAAAGCGUGGGGAGCAAACAGGAUUAGAUACCCUGGUAGUCCACGCCGUAAACGAUGAAUGCCAGCCGUUAGUGGGUUUACUCACUAGUGGCGCAGCUAACGCUUUAAGCAUUCCGCCUGGGGAGUACGGUCGCAAGAUUA
Molecule: ribosomal RNA, 823 nt
Filed under: uncultured bacterium
Lineage: Bacteria
Description: bacterial SSU rRNA
Rfam family: Bacterial small subunit ribosomal RNA
Source: RNAcentral